Molecule: ribosomal RNA, 205 nt
Filed under: uncultured bacterium
Lineage: Bacteria
Description: partial 16S ribosomal RNA
Rfam family: Bacterial small subunit ribosomal RNA
Source: RNAcentral
UGGAGGCGGUUUGUUAAGUUAGUUGUUGAAUCGCCCGGCUUAACCGGGCAAUCGCGAUUAAAACUGGCGAACUAGAGUGUGGGAGAGAAAGGUAGAAUUCUCGGAGUAGCGGUAAAAUGCGUAGAUCUCGAGAGGAAUACCGGUUGCGAAGGCGGCCUUUUGGCCCACCACUGACGCUGGAGCGCGAAAGCGUGGGGAGCAAACA